UACGGAAGGCAGCAGUGGGGAAUAUUGCACAAUGGGCGCAAGCCUGAUGCAGCCAUGCCGCGUGUAUGAAAAAGGCCUUCGGGUUGUAAAGUACUUUCAGUCGUGAGGAAGGUGUUAAGGUUAAUAACCUUAGCAAUUGACGUUAGCGACAGAAGAAGCACCGGCUAACUCCGUGCCAGCAGCCGCGGUAAUACGGAGGGUGCGAGCGUUAAUCGGAAUUACUGGGCGUAAAGGGCACGCAGGCGGUUAAUUAAGUUGGAUGUGAAAUCCCCGGGGCUUAACCUGGGAAUGGCAUUCAAGCUGGUUAGCUAGAGUCUUGUAGAGGGGGUUAGAAUUCCAUGUGUAGCGGUGAAAUGCGUAGAGAUGUGGAGGAAUACCGGUGGCGAAGGCGGCCCCUGGACAAAGACUGACGCUCAUGUGCGAAAGCGUGGGGAGCAAAC
This 440-nucleotide ribosomal RNA is filed under the name uncultured bacterium. RNAcentral describes it as "bacterial SSU rRNA". It matches the Rfam family "Bacterial small subunit ribosomal RNA", at positions 340 to 773 of the family's 1533-position model. The record is from RNAcentral.